CAAGGAUUUUUUAGAAAGGAAUAUUGUCUGCAAAAUAUGAUGUGCCAAUAAGCUCCAGUUUGCUGCGGCUUUUCGCCCAUGGCAGUGGUCCUGCAAUCUAGAUCCAGGAGUUGCAGCUCUGAAUCUAAUAUUUCAGAAUGAAGAUAUCGGAAUUCAUCACUAUAGUACCGUAUUCACCAGUAACGUUU
This is a long non-coding RNA of Mya arenaria, 188 nucleotides long. RefSeq lists it as uncharacterized. The record is from RefSeq and is a predicted model, not a curated record. Lineage: Eukaryota; Metazoa; Mollusca; Bivalvia; Myida; Myidae. The transcript is spliced from 3 exons.